RNAcentral lists this long non-coding RNA (311 nucleotides) under Lathyrus oleraceus (garden pea). Its description in RNAcentral is "Pisum sativum (pea) long non-coding RNA (PSAT_LNC028889)". Lineage: Eukaryota; Viridiplantae; Streptophyta; Magnoliopsida; Fabales; Fabaceae. The record is from RNAcentral.
UGAUGACGCUUUGUUAUUGCAUGUUUUAUAUCGAAGAAAUGAAGCAAAACACGUCAAAGAUAAGCAAAAGUGAAGAAUAAAGACCAAAGAAAUAUGAAAAAAAUACCAAGUAUGAAGAAAAAAAGAUUUAGUCAAAACCUAAUGGAAAAAGGAGAAAAAAUGUGCAACUACUAGAAUAAUCACACGCAGUAUUGCGCGCGUGAUAGAGAUGUAUUGUCAACAUCGCGCGCACGAUGAGGGAUAUCACGUGCGUGAUAGGUCCUUUUCUGACGUGUUAUGGACUGAUUUCACAACUUUAUAAGGGAAUUUUU